AACAUCUAAGUACCCCGAGGAAAAGAAAUCAACCGAGAUUCCCCCAGUAGCGGCGAGCGAACGGGGAGCAGCCCAGAGCCUGAAUCAGUGUGUGUGUUAGUGGAAGCGUCUGGAAAGGCGCGCGAUACAGGGUGACAGCCCCGUACACAAAAAUGCACAUGCUGUGAGCUCGAUGAGUAGGGCGGGACACGUGGUAUCCUGUCUGAAUAUGGGGGGACCAUCCUCCAAGGCUAAAUACUCCUGACUGACCGAUAGUGAACCAGUACCGUGAGGGAAAGGCGAAAAGAACCCCGGCGAGGGGAGUGAAAAAGAACCUGAAACCGUGUACGUACAAGCAGUGGGAGCACGCUUCGGCGUGUGACUGCGUACCUUUUGUAUAAUGGGUCAGCGACUUAUAUUCUGUAGCAAGGUUAACCGAAUAGGGGAGCCGAAGGGAAACCGAGUCUUAACUGGGCGUUAAGUUGCAGGGUAUAGACCCGAAACCCGGUGAUCUAGCCAUGGGCAGGUUGAAGGUUGGGUAACACUAACUGGAGGACCGAACCGACUAAUGUUGAAAAAUUAGCGGAUGACUUGUGGCUGGGGGUGAAAGGCCAAUCAAACCGGGAGAUAGCUGGUUCUCCCCGAAAGCUAUUUAGGUAGCGCCUCGUGAAUUCAUCUCCGGGGGUAGAGCACUGUUUCGGCAAGGGGGUCAUCCCGACUUACCAACCCGAUGCAAACUGCGAAUACCGGAGAAUGUUAUCACGGGAGACACACGGCGGGUGCUAACGUCCGUCGUGAAGAGGGAAACAACCCAGACCGCCAGCUAAGGUCCCAAAGUCAUGGUUAAGUGGGAAACGAUGUGGGAAGGCCCAGACAGCCAGGAUGUUGGCUUAGAAGCAGCCAUCAUUUAAAGAAAGCGUAAUAGCUCACUGGUCGAGUCGGCCUGCGCGGAAGAUGUAACGGGGCUAAACCAUGCAC
This 957-nucleotide ribosomal RNA is filed under the name Escherichia coli. RNAcentral's name for it is "partial 23S ribosomal RNA". It matches the Rfam family "Bacterial large subunit ribosomal RNA", at positions 197 to 1194 of the family's 2925-position model. Lineage: Bacteria; Pseudomonadati; Pseudomonadota; Gammaproteobacteria; Enterobacterales; Enterobacteriaceae. The record is from RNAcentral.